Molecule: ribosomal RNA, 433 nt
Filed under: uncultured bacterium
Lineage: Bacteria
Description: partial 16S ribosomal RNA
Rfam family: Bacterial small subunit ribosomal RNA
Source: RNAcentral
AACGAACGCUGGCGGCAUGCCUAACACAUGCAAGUCGAACGAUGCCUUCGGGCAUAGUGGCGCACGGGUGCGUAACGCGUGGGAAUCUGCCUUUCGGUUCGGAAUAACUCAGGGAAACUUGAGCUAAUACCGGAUAACGUCGCAAGACCAAAGAUUUAACACCGAAAGAUGAGCCCGCGUAGGAUUAGCUAGCUGGUGAGGUAAAGGCUCACCAAGGCGACGAUCCUUAGCUGGUCUGAGAGGAUGAUCAGCCACACUGGGACUGAGACACGGCCCAGACUCCUACGGGAGGCAGCAGUGGGGAAUAUUGGACACUGGGCGAAAGCCUGAUCCAGCAAUGCCGCGUGAGUGAUGAAGGCCUUAGGGUUGUAAAGCUCUUUUACCCGGGAAGAUAAUGACGGUACCGGGAGAAUAAGCCCCGGCUAACUCCGUG